Molecule: long non-coding RNA, 432 nt
Organism: Cucurbita maxima (winter squash)
Lineage: Eukaryota; Viridiplantae; Streptophyta; Magnoliopsida; Cucurbitales; Cucurbitaceae
Exons: 3
Source: RefSeq, a predicted model, not a curated record
UGAAAUGAGGAAACCAAUCACUCAAGUUCAUCUCAAACCCACCAUAGUUGUUGUUGAGUAUAGUGAUAAAAGAGAAAUCAACUAAGAUGAGUGGUGGGAAGGGUUCGGUCUUUUUGGCUAUAUUGCUCUUCUUUUUCCUUGUCUCCUCCGAGCUGGGUGCAGCCAGGAAGCUAAUGGUGGCCGGAAACAAUGCAGCGAUCAUACAUGAAGGCCGCACCACUUUCGUCACCUCCCCGCACACAAAACCCCAACAAACCUGUUUGCGAUCGCCCAGGUCGUUAUAGUGAUUGCUUCCGACGGCCAGCCCCACCCGCAGUCUGCAAUUUUUAUUCACGAAAUUGCCUUCCGAAGAACUGAAGUGCACACUAAGAUCAAACACCAUGGGAACUAAAUAAACUAACCCACACCUACCUGGGUUUUAAUAACUAAUUG